Long non-coding RNA from Canis lupus familiaris (dog), 1194 nucleotides. RefSeq lists it as uncharacterized. NCBI's taxonomy places the organism in Eukaryota, Metazoa, Chordata, Mammalia, Carnivora, Canidae. The record is from RefSeq and is a predicted model, not a curated record. The transcript is spliced from 4 exons.
UCGUAGUCACAGACGUCAUGAACAAGUUCAUCAAAAUCUACAGGUCCUCUUAGGUGAAGGCGUCACAGCAGACGGAAGGCGGAGGCGCUGGGAGUCCCCGACGUUCCGCAGUCAAAAGCGCGGGGACGCGCGCCCUUGACGACCCUUCACGUGCGGCCCUCCGAGCCGUGCUAGGAGUCCUGGGAGCCGUCACCUCCGCAAGGACUACACGCUUGUUAUUUGACCAGAUUCUUGCAAUAUUUCCCUCAAGAUUUCUCAGCUUCUACUGAUGCCCUUACAACAUUUUCUCUCACUGCGAACACAAUGAUCUUUCAAAACUAUACAUCAAUUUGUACUUAAAUAUUUUUCUUGGCUCACAGGAUGACUCAAGUAUCCAGAUUUAAAUGGAUGGAAAGAGAGGAAUAUGGGAAGAAACAAAAAAAGUGGAGGAAGAAGUAACCAGGAUUUGAGGGAGCACUGACAGCUCAAUGUCCAGUGGGCUGGACUUGUGUUCUGAAAAAAGAAAAUUUGCUCCACCCUACUUCGUGAUCUUGUGGAAUAUUUCUAAACAGCCUGACCACCAGCACAUCUGUCCCCUUGCUGGCUUUUAGAUCAGUAGACCAGAAUGUAAUAAAUCCUUCAAGACUAAAGUAUGCUGGGUUAAUCUAUGGCAAUGCAGUGUGUCACCAUAGAAUAUAAGUUUACUAACAUAUUAUAGGCCUCUUCUGAGGUUAAAAAAACCUGGAUUCCUUCAAGUCAUCAUCCAGAGAAAGAUUUAUUCUUGGUACAGUGAAACUUAUGUGACUGCACUUUUCUUAGCUAUAAUUAUGAACAUUCAAGUUUACUUUUAUAAUGUACUUUUAUAUCUCCAAAUUUGAGAAGUUUCACAUAAUGGUGGAUCAGCUAAUUUAAUUUUUUUAUCGUUUAUUACACACGGGGAAAAAACACUCUUCUAAAAUAACUUCUUCAAAAGCAGAGCAUUUUAUUACAGACUAGAAAUAAAUAAUAAAAGUCAGUGACCCUUGCUUCAAAAGUAUGUGGUAAUGAUAAAUUUUGAUAUUGUUAAUGAGCCCCUGUUAAAAUCUAAUCGUUUUAGUCAGAAAUUUAUUUUCCUUCCAGACCUGGAUUUGAUACAGUCUAUAUAUGUUAGACACUUUGAUGAUGUUGGUUAUUAAAAACAUAAAGCUGGUAAAAAACUAUACAGUAAUAAGAAUA